Felis catus (domestic cat) is the source of this 4200-nucleotide long non-coding RNA. RefSeq lists it as uncharacterized. The transcript is spliced from 3 exons. The record is from RefSeq and is a predicted model, not a curated record. NCBI's taxonomy places the organism in Eukaryota, Metazoa, Chordata, Mammalia, Carnivora, Felidae.
CUGACUGCAAAGCCUAACUGCCUGACUUACAAAACGCUUUAGAGUGGAGGCAGGGGACUCUAACACAGGAUGUCCAAUGAGUCUCCUCUCCUUGGGCUCCUCUAGGUUUUGCUUUUACAGCCCUCAGAGACCCCUUGUGGCAAACUCCAAAAGACGGAUGAAAUGAAAAUCCCCACACACUGUACUGGAAGGCUUCGCACCAGGCGACAUAAUCACCCUGAGCAACCCUCAUGGUGCUGUAAUUAAAUAUUCAACCCAUGUGCGUUCAUACAACGUAAAGGUCUCCAAGCGGAGUGUAGGGAGUGUUUUUUAAUGAUAAUGAUGUAAUACUGACUAAGUCCCUACCGUGUUGGGUCCCUCACAGUGCACGGAAACAGCAAAGCCUCUGGGCUCCACUGAGGUAAUAGAAUCCAAGGUCAGAAACAAAAAUUGUGUGAUCAUCUUUCUAUUUCUUUAGAGAUAUUUCAUGAACACGACCAUACAGUAAUGCAUGUAACCACAGAGAGUAAGGUAGUCAGCUGUUUAUAAAAAGCUACUUCCUUCUAUUUUAGGUUAACUCUCUUUCAAAAAAAAAAAAAAAUGCCUUCCUUUUCCUUAGAACCAUUUUAUUUUCAUCUCAUCUCUCCUCCAAGGAAUAAAAUAAAAAGGGAGAACAAGAUGUCCUUCCCAUCAUGUCAUGGCCCCCCCAUCAAAGAUUUCUCAAGUUAGCAACUCUGAGGAGAUGUCAGAGGAAAUGAAGAGGCCUUUAUGCUAUCCUAUUAACAAUGACUCGAAUGGAAAAACAAAACAAAAAAAAACCCACUUCUGCCUCUAACUUUCGGCUCUUCCCUUUUUCCCCAGCUCAGACACUCAUCUUGUCAAUCACCGCCAUUUUGCCAAGUGACAUGCCAUGUCUCUGGUCACAGAACAUCAGGACUUAAGCACCACCAGAUCGGCCGAGCGCCCUGGUUCCUCUUGUGGAGUGAGGUCGCCUACGGCUCUGUCUCAGACUCAACAGCCCGUGAGGACUCUGAACUGGCUGUCAAGUCCGGCUUUUCCAGCACCUGUUUUUUUCACCACACCAUCAGUAAAGCCAAAUGUGAGCUGAGAGUGCAGAAAUCCCAAGGGUAGGAAAGCAGGGCAGAGGAAGUCAGGAACAUCACCAACCACACUAACUGGAAUUUUCUCCUGUCCGUCUGUCCGCCAGAUUCCUCCCUGGUGUGGGGGCUGGAGGCCCUAUGAGUGGCACACAGUCUCUGAGAGAAGCGUUUUCAGCUUGCUCAUCCCGGCCAGUACCAGUACUAGUAACCAUACAAACCAUACAGCUACUAUUUAUUGACAGCUUAGUAUGUGUUCCUGGCAUAUUGUAGCAUGAACUCUAAUUGUCAACAAGAGCGAUCCAAUGAACUUCACUGGCUAUGUGGAGAAACUAGGUAUAGAGAAAUUCAGUAACUGGGCCAAAGCCAUGGCUGGUGAGUGGCAAAGCUGUGAUUUGAACCCAGGUGCGUCUGGAAUCAAAGCUCAUCCUUUUGGUCGCCUCAGAACCACCAAGUCAAACACCCUGGCCGACUUGAGUUUGAGCUCUUUUCUGUCACCUGACCCAGACCUGGGAUUCUUCCGGAUGAUGCUACCAAAAUCUAAGGGAGAGGCAACGUGUUCUUACCAGGACCACCAUGUUGCCAAGGUCUGGGAGCACUAUUAACUACUCACCUGAUGCAACUGACGUGCUCCGGAGUUAGGCAACCAAGUGGUAGAUGUUCUGCCGUCUUUCUGGCACAUGGAAUUGCCAAUUCCCUAGGCCUAAGGCUAGACCUCAUCUAUCCAGGUAAUACUCCAAGGCCCAGGACCAAUGAGCACUUAAUUCCAUGGUCACUGUUAGCUUAUUCUUAAAGAUCCCCACGGGCAAAGAUUCUCCAACAGCCUCUAGCAAGUCACACAGGAUUCUGGUCCCUGAGACGGAAAGGGUAUGAUUCCUCCUCCUUGCCUGUUUUCUACUUGCUGAGAAUUAACAGAUCUCUCACAAGUCUGAAGUUGCCUCUAUACCUGUCUCAAGGAACACAGACUAGCCCUGUCACUCUCCGACAGACCUAAAAUAAUAUAUUCUAGCAUAAAAUGAUGGCAUCGCGAGGCUAGUGAAUUGAUGCAAAAGAAGGCACCAUGAAACAACGAACCACAGGAACGUUUAUAAACCCUUCUGCCUUAAAGAGACUGGCAAAACAAAAAGGCUUAUUUCCAAACACUGUAGUCAUCCAGGCUAUUUGCAACCUACACUCAAUUCCUAGACAAUAGUCAUGGGUGCUGAAAUAACUCCAGCUAUUUCUAGCCUUGCAAAAUAAAUACAGGCUGAAAGAAAAGUAUAACUUGUAGUAAACGAUCUAAUACUAUUGCUCUUGAUUAAAGAUGCUAUUUGCUUUUCAGAAUCUUUUCAAAAACAGCUGGGAAAUGGUUACAAGAAGGGUUUUUUGUUUUGUUUUGUUUUGUUUUGUUUUGUUUUGUUUUGUUUUCAGGGUUUGUUUUUUUAAGUUCUCAACCUACAACAUACAGGAGGGUUCCCAACACCGCCCAUUUUCUCUGUCCCUCAUCGACAGUAUCUUUCCUCUGCUUCCAGAUUCUCGUCGACGCUCAAAGUGAAAAUGGAAAUACAAGAAGAUAAAGCAGUGGGUGGCACUCCUUCCCUUGCUUGGUUCAAAAGCACAUUUUUGCCCUCCUCCACAAAAACUAAAGCAGUCCUGCGUUUUAGCUCUAGAGGACACCAGAAAGACAAGGCAAUGACAAGGAGCUAGUCAGGUAUCAUCUUACCAGGUUAAAGGUAUUAUGUCAUGUGGACAGAGGCGGCAUGUCCCUGCUUCUCAAGUUCAAACAACCACGAGAGAGGUCUGGAUCCCACACUAUUUGCAAAAAAUUCUUCCCCUUAAAAUCGGGCUUAGACUCACGUAUGAAUUUGGCAUGAAACUCUAGUUCCUGGAAGACCCCUAAAAUCCAUGUGGAAUCUUCCCAAAUGUUCCUUUCUUGAUUUCCAUCAUUCCAUGCCUACGAGGCUCCCUCUAAAAUCCAUCAAUACCUGCUUUUAGUGAACAUUCAGAGAGUCUAGAAGGCACUUCAUCCUCCAGGGUGUAAGAUAAAUACUGGUCUAAUGUUUCUCAGCAAUAUAAAAUGUCAAUUUAAACACAUACUUUCAUAUACAAAGCCAAGCUGGGAGAUAUUAUUAAUUAUGUUCCACCCUUUAGGAAAUAGGCACCCAGUAAUACUCCUUUAUGUUAACAUAUCAUAUUUGCCUUUUCAGGAGUUUUCACACCCUGGACAUUUUCAUUCCCUCCAAAGACUUAGAGAGUUGUUGCUGCUUUUAAGGAUUCCUAUGAAAAGAUGAGAUUCUAAAAUUUCCUGCCUCCAUCUGUUGACUCCUUGGUCCAUAAGUGUUUACUUGGCCAGGAAGAUUUCUGUUUUGUCUUCUAAAUCAAAUGCUCAUUCCCUCGGGUGAUGGUGGUGGUCGGAGGGGAGCACUUAAGAAAUUCCAUACUGAAGAAAGCGGAGGGUAUAUUGGAAAACCGUGGUCCUGCUGUCUUCCCUUCCUGCCCUAUCACAGACGACUUCCCCACAUUAAUCCAAAGCUCUGCAAAUACAAGGGUCAAUGGCUGCCCACUAACUCCACAGUGUACCAGCUUUGCAAUUCACGGAACCACACACCAACUGCUGUCGUCAGGGUGCCUCAAAGUUACGGCUGUGCGGUUGAGGAAAAAAAUCAGUCCUGUAUCCAGUUCUCUCUGGGUUUUAGUUACUCCUCACUGGUAAAUUUGACACAACAGGUUGUUCCAGAACAUUUGGGUCCAUUCUGACUCUGUGGCCAGCUACUGAUGCUUAGAAUAAAAUACCAGUCACCAUCAGAGAAAAUCUGAGAUGAGAACACAGAAUGGAAAUUAAGUGCCCGGAGUAAUACUGGCAUAAAAUCUUAAGUGGAAUCCGCAAUUAAGUGUAUAAUAAAAUAAAAAUAGCAGACAUCAAGACCUAGAAAACUAUGGCAUGGAUUUAAGUGAGCCAGCCUGCUUGUGUUGCACAAGAAGUCAACACAUUCAUAUUUGUAAAAACAAAGUGGGAAUAAGUAACUGCCCAAUUGUAAGAAAUGGGUGAAAACUUAGGGUGUAAAGGAUACAGAAAUGGCCCCGGCCUAACUCCUAUUCAGGACAGUGGGAUCCCACAUGACACACACACACACACACACACACA